GGUUCCAUGGUGUAAUGGUAAGCACUCUGGACUCUGAAUCCAGCCAUCUGAGUUCGAGUCUCUGUGGAACCU
This is a transfer RNA of Homo sapiens (human), 72 nucleotides long. It matches the Rfam family "tRNA". From Rfam's summary of the family: Transfer RNA (tRNA) molecules are approximately 80 nucleotides in length. Their secondary structure includes four short double-helical elements and three loops (D, anti-codon, and T loops). Further hydrogen bonds mediate the characteristic L-shaped molecular structure. tRNAs have two regions of fundamental functional importance: the anti-codon, which is responsible for specific mRNA codon recognition, and the 3' end, to which the tRNAs corresponding amino acid is attached (by aminoacyl-tRNA synthetases). tRNAs cope with the degeneracy of the genetic code in two manners: having more than one tRNA (with a specific anti-codon) for a particular amino acid; and 'wobble' base-pairing, i.e. permitting non-standard base-pairing at the 3rd anti-codon position. The record is from Rfam. NCBI's taxonomy places the organism in Eukaryota, Metazoa, Chordata, Mammalia, Primates, Hominidae.